GACGAACGCUGGCGGCGUGCUUAACACAUGCAAGUCGAACGAAGUGGCGAACGGGUGAGUAACGCGUAAUCAACCUGCCCUUCAGAGGGGGACAACAGUUGGAAACGACUGCUAAUACCGCAUACUGAAGGAGGGGAUUGCGUCUGAUUCGGUCGUUGGGGGGGUAACGGCCCACCAAGGCGAUGAUCAGUAGCCGGGUUGGGAGGAUGAACGGGCAAAAUGGGACUGGGGAACGGCCCAGACUCCGACGGGAGGCAGGAGGGGGGAAGUUUCCGAAAUGGACGAAAGUCUGACGGAGCAACGCCGCGUGAGUGAUGACGGCCUUCGGGUUGUAAAGCUCUGUUAAUCGGGACGCGGUACCGGAAGAGAAAGCCACGGCUAACUACGUGCCAGCAGCCGCGGUAAUAC
This 408-nucleotide ribosomal RNA is filed under the name uncultured bacterium. RNAcentral describes it as "partial 16S ribosomal RNA". It matches the Rfam family "Bacterial small subunit ribosomal RNA", at positions 28 to 526 of the family's 1533-position model. The record is from RNAcentral.